GAUGAACGCCGGCGGCGUGCCUAAUACAUGCCAGUCGAGCGAACAGACGAGGAGCUUGCUCCUCUGACGUUAGCGGCGGACGGGUGAGUAACACGUGGAUAACCUACCUAUAAGACUGGGAUAACUUCGGGAAACCGGAGCUAAUACCGGAUAAUAUAUUGAACCGCAUGGUUCAAUAGUGAAAGACGGUUUUGCUGUCCCUUAUAGAUGGAUCCGCGCCGCAUUAGCUAGUUGGUAAGGUAACGGCUUACCAAGGCAACGAUGCGUAGCCGACCUGAGAGGGUGAUCGGCCACACUGGAACUGAGACACGGUCCAGACUCCUACGGGAGGCAGCAGUAGGGAAUCUUCCGCAAUGGGCGAAAGCCUGACGGAGCAACGCCGCGUGAGUGAUGAAGGUCUUCGGAUCGUAAAACUCUGUUAUUAGGGAAGAACAAAUGUGUAAGUAACUAUGCACGUCUUGACGGUACCUAAUCAGAAAGCCACGGCUAACUACGUG
Molecule: ribosomal RNA, 497 nt
Filed under: uncultured bacterium
Lineage: Bacteria
Description: partial 16S ribosomal RNA
Rfam family: Bacterial small subunit ribosomal RNA
Source: RNAcentral